This 203-nucleotide ribosomal RNA is filed under the name uncultured bacterium. RNAcentral's name for it is "partial 16S ribosomal RNA". It matches the Rfam family "Bacterial small subunit ribosomal RNA", at positions 329 to 538 of the family's 1533-position model. The record is from RNAcentral.
AGCUCGACACCUACGGGAGACAGCAGUGGGGAAUAUUGGGCAAUGGGCGCAAGCCUGACCCAGCAACGCCGCGUGAAGGAAGAAGGCCCUCGGGUUGUAAACUUCUUUUGUCAGGGACGAAGCAAGUGACGGUACCUGACGAAUAAGCCACGGCUAACUACGUGCCAACACGCCGCGGUAAUCUGAGGCGGGCGUGGCAAGGC